RNAcentral lists this ribosomal RNA (292 nucleotides) under uncultured bacterium. Its description in RNAcentral is "partial 16S ribosomal RNA". It matches the Rfam family "Bacterial small subunit ribosomal RNA", at positions 505 to 796 of the family's 1533-position model. The record is from RNAcentral.
GUGUCAGCAGCCGCGGUAAUACAGAGGUCUCGAGCGUUAAUCGGAGUUACUGGGCUUAAAGGGUGCGUAGGCGGCGCUGUAAGUGCCUUGUGAAAUCCCAUGGCUUAACCAUGGAAUUGCUCGGCAGACUGCAGUGCUUGAGGUCGGUAGGGGUCGCUGGAACUCUAGGUGGAGCGGUGAAAUGCGUAGAUAUCUAGAGGAACGCCAAAGGUGUAGACAGGCGACUGGGCCGAUUCUGACGCUGAGGCACGAAAGCGUGGGUAGCGAACGGGAUUAGAUACCCUAGUAGUCC